Triplophysa dalaica is the source of this 859-nucleotide long non-coding RNA. RefSeq lists it as uncharacterized. The transcript has 3 exons. The record is from RefSeq and is a predicted model, not a curated record. NCBI's taxonomy places the organism in Eukaryota, Metazoa, Chordata, Actinopteri, Cypriniformes, Nemacheilidae.
UAACUGAGCGAAAUAUUCAAACAUAGGCUGCGUCCGAAAUACCCUAAUAUAGUGCACUAUUUGAGGGGUCAUCCAUUUUUUAAUGGUCUCCGAAUUCAAAGUGGACAUUAUUGAGUGCACUCAUUCAAUUCAUGAUAGAUCAUAAUAACAAAUGUACAACCGAUGUAAACUCGCGGCUAGCUGCUAGCCAUCUAUCGUGGAGCUCGCGCUGAAUGAAUUCCCGCGUCUCGGCAGAAGAUGGCGCCCGCACCAUUUCCAGUCCACUGAGUGUCCGAAUUUAGUCACCUAUUUCCUUAAAGUAUACUAUAUUAGUGAAAUAAUGUAGGGAAUAGUGAAUGAGGGUGUAGUGGUCGAUUUCGGACACAGACAGUGGCGCCUUUUAUAGCGGGAGGAGAUGAAGUUUAGCAUCAUGGACCUUUGAUUUUAAGCGCAGAGACACAGAAUACUUUUGGUUAUGCGGACUUAUAGAAAUAAUGGACGAAUUUAUAUUUCUAAAAGGUGUAUAAUGAUUUAUGAGGAAAUCUGUUCUUUGUUUUUACGAACUUGGUUCAAACAUGCUGCUCCAUCUCAGGUGUGCUCACCUUGCACCCUUAGGUGUGCCACAACAGAAGUCCCUUCUGCCUCACAGGAGUAAAUCCCCCCAUCCUGAGGUUCCACACAGCUAAUGUACAACCUUGCAACAGUCCAGUCCCUUUCCACUAUUACCCUGCGACCAUCUGCUUGUACAGUAAAUGUUUUCAUGUACCACUGCAUGGCUCCCAGAGGAAGUUGAGGACCCUCAGCAAGGAGGUUUUUCCGGUUCCUGUGUUUCCUACCACGAGCAGGUGCUCUCCUUGAGUGAUCCUUAUGGUCAGAUCCU